Molecule: long non-coding RNA, 2210 nt
Organism: Hylaeus volcanicus
Lineage: Eukaryota; Metazoa; Arthropoda; Insecta; Hymenoptera; Colletidae
Exons: 3
Source: RefSeq, a predicted model, not a curated record
AAACACCCCAAGAAGAUACUCGAAAAGUAUGUUUUUAAUCAAAUUUUCUCUUUAUCCUAGUUUCAGUUAUUGUAAUUUCAACAUUCGCCGUGAUACACGCUGAUAAUGCAUCAUUUACGAGAUGGUCUCUCGUAUAUAUGACUGUUCACCCUAUCAACUAAGAAAAUCCUGAGAAGAGUGCAAAUUGGCAGUUACUAAUUGUUCAGUAUUCAUCAAAGAAUCAGCGGAUUGUAACGAGGAAAGAGGUUGAAUACACAAACUCGUUUUCCACCAAAUAACCAAGAAAGUUAUUGUCGAACACUGUCCAUUCAACAUGAAAUCGAUCUCGUAAGAUCACUUCAAAGACGAAAGCAACCAAAAUUUGUUCACGAUUCACAUAUUGAGAUUAUUAUUUUCAAGUAAAAGCAGCUCGUACUAAAAAUCAAUAUUCAGGGAAAAAUCUUCCACGGAUACAGCGACGCCCAUUAUGAGAUUUGCAGAUACGCGGUGAUUAAAAUUGAAUACCAUGCGGGUAAACAAGCUGGCAGUAAAUCUUCGGGUACUAAUUCUUCAGCAUUCAUCAAGGGAUCAGUAGCCCGUAACGAGGAAAGAGAUCGGCCAAUAAUGGCUGAUAAAACGCUCGUCAAACCGGCGUGCGUGCUCGAAAGCGCGCGGUAAGAAUGCAGCAACGAGAGGCGCCGAGAAAAACGGCUUUCAUUAAGAACGUAGCAGCGAGUGGUAAUAAGAAAAACGGGUUCAACGUGAAAUAGCGGCCAAGAGGAGAGCUGGUUUUUAUCCCGUGGAAUGCGGCUAUCGAGGAAAAGAGCUUUUGCCCCGUGUCCCUGAUUGAUUCGAGCCGUGUGCACGCGAGUUCACGCGUUCGCGUGGAUUUGGAAUUCUAGCAAAUUCGAUAACAGUUAGUUUUAUUGAAUACCUGAUAAUUUAAUAAAUAGUGACAGCUUCUACAUAACUGAUUUUGUUCAAAUUUACACUACUUUACUCCUGUCAUGCUGCCACAUUUGUUACAUUCGAGCGACCCACAAUUUGAGAAUGUACAAUAUAAGAGACCUUUUUGUUGAAAGAAAUGUAUAUAACAUACUGAAAUAAUAAAUAGUGUAGAAUCGAGACUCCAGAAAUUCUCCAAGGAUUAGAUCAUCGUUUGAUCGGUCGUUCACCUACAUCGUCAGCUCGUCUUUCACAAAACGCAGAAUAAAUGCGCAGAAUUCGUUGCGCAAUUACGCAAGACGCGGAGAGGAAAGAUAAAUUGAAAUCAUCGCUGGACCCUCUUCAGAGGAACGCGAAUGCGUUGCUGUACGUGCGCGAUGAUGCGGGAAAAACGGCGCGCGAAUGCGUAUUGUUGCGUCUCGAGACGGACGAGGAAUAAAUCUACGUGAUGGGUACCAGGUAUGACCUGAAAGGAAAUGCAGCAGACGGGAUGAAUGAUUCUGGACCGUUGCGUUAGCUAAUAAAUAACGGACGAGUCCGCAAUCUUAAUUGAUUGCUGUUUCCAGUAUUGGAAUAGCAAGAUGUUUCCUCUUUGGAUGGCAAAUUUAAUCUUUUCUUUUUUUUCAAUGGAUAUUGUUUGUUUCCAGUUUCCAGUUUCAAUUUUAGCAGCGAUCUGGAUUUUUCAUUGAAAUUUUUAGCGUCAAAAAUGUCAUAUAAAAUAACGUUUAUAUGGCUACUUUGUUGACGCACAUUGCUACCUCAUACAAAGAUCCAAUUUCACACAUCAGCAGCGUUGUUUGGAAUAAAAUGAAAGCUUCGAGCAAGGCGGUCGUGUAAAACGCGAAGCUUUAAACGUGGUUCUAAAAAUCGCGCCAUUCCUCCUUAAAUCGCCCGAGAAACCGUCGUUAAUUUUAUGAGGCGCUACAGAUUGUGAUACGAACACGCGUCGUAACGCUUCGAGUUAGAUGGAGCGAGGGUGUACCGUUGUAUCGAAUCUAUAAAAUAACGAAAGGCGUGUAUGCGCGAAACCGUAAGUAUGAAUUUCGUACUGUGAGUGUCGCAAAUAGGGGUGUAAAUACAACGAAGUCGUAUAAUUUUAAUUAGAAACAAGUACUUUCUUCUUCGAAGCGUUAGAAAUUACUGUUCCCUUCAUCACAGAUCCAUUACGUCGUUUCUAAAAUAAACAGUUACGUCAUUAUGCGCCAUAUCGUUCUAAAGUUGAGUAUCCCAUGAUCCAGGCUUACUCAUUCUAAGGUCAACGAUGUGUUGCGGCAUCCAUGCUGUAA